This 74-nucleotide transfer RNA is filed under the name Pseudonocardia kunmingensis. Its description in RNAcentral is "tRNA-Leu". It matches the Rfam family "tRNA". Rfam says of the family: Transfer RNA (tRNA) molecules are approximately 80 nucleotides in length. Their secondary structure includes four short double-helical elements and three loops (D, anti-codon, and T loops). Further hydrogen bonds mediate the characteristic L-shaped molecular structure. tRNAs have two regions of fundamental functional importance: the anti-codon, which is responsible for specific mRNA codon recognition, and the 3' end, to which the tRNAs corresponding amino acid is attached (by aminoacyl-tRNA synthetases). tRNAs cope with the degeneracy of the genetic code in two manners: having more than one tRNA (with a specific anti-codon) for a particular amino acid; and 'wobble' base-pairing, i.e. permitting non-standard base-pairing at the 3rd anti-codon position. The record is from RNAcentral. Lineage: Bacteria; Bacillati; Actinomycetota; Actinomycetes; Pseudonocardiales; Pseudonocardiaceae.
GCCCCCGUAACCCAAUCGGCAGAGGUUGCGCUCUCAAACAGCGUUCAGUGUGGGUUCGAAUCCCACCGGGGGCA